RNAcentral lists this ribosomal RNA (267 nucleotides) under Escherichia coli. Its description in RNAcentral is "partial 23S ribosomal RNA". It matches the Rfam family "Bacterial large subunit ribosomal RNA", at positions 2664 to 2925 of the family's 2925-position model. RNAcentral also lists the same sequence under 1 other name. Lineage: Bacteria; Pseudomonadati; Pseudomonadota; Gammaproteobacteria; Enterobacterales; Enterobacteriaceae. The record is from RNAcentral.
GAGGGGGGCUGCUCCUAGUACGAGAGGACCGGAGUGGACGCAUCACUGGUGUUCGGGUUGUCAUGCCAAUGGCACUGCCCGGUAGCUAAAUGCGGAAGAGAUAAGUGCUGAAAGCAUCUAAGCACGAAACUUGCCCCGAGAUGAGUUCUCCCUGAGACUUAGAGUCUCCUGAAGGAACGUUGAAGACGACGACGUUGAUAGGCCGGGUGUGUAAGCGCAGCGAUGCGUUGAGCUAACCGGUACUAAUGAACCGUGAGGCUUAACCUU